AUUGAACGCUGGCGGCAUGCUUUACACAUGCAAGUCGAACGGUAACAGGCCGCAAGGUCCUGACGAGUGUCGGACGGGGGCGUAAUGCAACCACACGUGUCCAGUCGUUGGGGGUCACUACUCGCAAGAGUAGCUAAUACCGCAUACGAUCUAUGGAUGAAAGCGGGGGAGCUUAAUGCUUCGCGCGAUUGUAGCUGCCGAUGACAGAUUAGGUAGUUGGUGGGGUAACGGCUUACCAAGCCAACGAUCUGUAGCUGGUCUGAGAGGACGACCGGCCACACUGGAACUGAGACACGGCCCAGACUCCUACGGGAGGCAGCAGUGGGGAAUUUUGGACAAUGGGCGCAAGCCUGAUCCAGCAAUGCCGCGUGCAGGAAGAAGGCCUUCGGGUUGUAAACUGCUUUUGUACGGAACGAAACGGCUCUGGUUAAUACCCGGGGCUAAUGACGGUACCGUAAGAAUAAGCACCGGCUAACUACGUG
This 482-nucleotide ribosomal RNA is filed under the name uncultured bacterium. RNAcentral's name for it is "partial 16S ribosomal RNA". It matches the Rfam family "Bacterial small subunit ribosomal RNA", at positions 30 to 507 of the family's 1533-position model. The record is from RNAcentral.